UCACAGAACAGAUGCAGCAGGCUUCAUGACAGGGCAAGUUUCUUCCCACUGUCAUGCUGAUGUGCCUGGAGGAAUGUGCAUCUCUAAGGGUCAACACCCUCAAACUACUUCAGACCAGGGUGUGGGGGAGCAGAGUGCAUUCAAGGAAUUUUCCAGGGCAGGGGAACUGAGAAAGAACAACCACAGACUGGCCAACGUAUUCCUUGCAAGUCCUGGCACAGGAGAUAUGCCAGGGAGGAACAGCGCAAAGUACUAUUGAACAAUUGUUACCUUCCAGUCCAGGAAUAGCAGCAGCUCAACAAUGGGACAAGUGAGGUGAUCGCUAUACACACACUUUGGAAGGUUUCUGUAUUGGCCAUACUCAGGUUGAUCCACACCUCCAUUUGAAAAUUUUUAAGGCUCCGCAAAUGAAAAAGGUUGAAACCUACUGCUCUGAUACAG
Long non-coding RNA from Mauremys mutica (yellowpond turtle), 441 nucleotides. RefSeq lists it as uncharacterized. The transcript is spliced from 4 exons. Lineage: Eukaryota; Metazoa; Chordata; Testudines; Geoemydidae. The record is from RefSeq and is a predicted model, not a curated record.